UACGUAGGGGGCAAGCGUUGUCCGGAAUUAUUGGGCGUAAAGCGCGCGCAGGCGGUACGUUAAGUCAGAUGUGAAAGGCUACAGCUCAACUGUAGAGUGGCAUUUGAAACUGGCGAACUUGAGUGCAGGAGAGGGGAGUGGAAUUCCCGGUGUAGCGGUGGAAUGCGUAGAGAUCGGGAGGAACACCAGUGGCGAAGGCGACUCUCUGGCCUGCAACUGACGCUGAGGCGCGAAAGCGUGGGGAGCGAAC
This 250-nucleotide ribosomal RNA is filed under the name uncultured bacterium. Its description in RNAcentral is "partial 16S ribosomal RNA". It matches the Rfam family "Bacterial small subunit ribosomal RNA", at positions 524 to 773 of the family's 1533-position model. The record is from RNAcentral.